GGGCCCGUGCGUAGGGAUACGGUUUGGUACUGCGGCUCGGGGUGAAUGGGAUUGAAGAAGAGUUCUUGUUUUUUUUUUUUUUUUUUUUUUAAGUGUAUCACAGUUUUUAUCUUUUAAAAAAUAUAUAUUAAUGUAAAGAGCUGAAAGGAGGAACAGAAAAAAAACAAAGCCGGAAAUGAAUUGAAAAUUCCAUGAGGAGUUUCCGUUAGAGUUCCUAACUGAGAUUCCAAUGUACAUGGGAAAAGUGCAGGGGCAGUCAUCAUUGUAGAACUGUGCGGGGCUUGGAGAGCAUUUGAAGACUGGGUGCAACACAGAAAAGAUGGAACUGCAGACUUUACAGGAAAAAUUGAAAGUUGAAAUUCAGGGACACCAGAAACUAGUUGCACAAAUGAAACAAGACCCACAGGUAAUGUCUUCAUUG
Long non-coding RNA from Protopterus annectens (West African lungfish), 421 nucleotides. RefSeq lists it as uncharacterized. The record is from RefSeq and is a predicted model, not a curated record. NCBI's taxonomy places the organism in Eukaryota, Metazoa, Chordata, Ceratodontiformes, Protopteridae. The transcript has 3 exons.